GGGGCCCAUCCUCCAAGGCUAAAUACUCCUGACUGACCGAUAGUGAACCAGUACCGUGAGGGAAAGGCGAAAAGAACCCCGGCGAGGGGAGUGAAAAAGAACCUGAAACCGUGUACGUACAAGCAGUGGGAGCACGCUUAGGCGUGUGACUGCGUACCUUUUGUAUAAUGGGUCAGCGACUUAUAUUCUGUAGCAAGGUUAACCGAAUAGGGGAGCCGAAGGGAAACCGAGUCUUAACUGGGCGUUAAGUUGCAGGGUAUAGACCCGAAACCCGGUGAUCUAGCCAUGGGCAGGUUGAAGGUUGGGUAACACUAACUGGAGGACCGAACCGACUAAUGUUGAAAAAUUAGCGGAUGACUUGUGGCUGGGGGUGAAAGGCCAAUCAAACCGGGAGAUAGCUGGUUCUCCCCGAAAGCUAUUUAGGUAGCGCCUCGUGAAUUCAUCUCCGGGGGUAGAGCACUGUUUCGGCAAGGGGGUCAUCCCGACUUACCAACCCGAUGCAAACUGCGAAUACCGGAGAAUGUUAUCACGGGAGACACACGGCGGGUGCUAACGUCCGUCGUGAAGAGGGAAACAACCCAGACCGCCAGCUAAGGUCCCAAAGUCAUGGUUAAGUGGGAAACGAUGUGGGAAGGCCCAGACAGCCAGGAUGUUGGCUUAGAAGCAGCCAUCAUUUAAAGAAAGCGUAAUAGCUCACUGGUCGAGUCGGCCUGCGCGGAAGAUGUAACGGGGCUAAACCAUGCACCGAAGCUGCGGCAGCGACGCUUAUGCGUUGUUGGGUAGGGGAGCGUUCUGUAAGCCUGCGAAGGUGUGCUGUGAGGCAUGCUGGAGGUAUCAGAAGUGCGAAUGCUGACAUAAGUAACGAUAAAGCGGGUGAAAAGCCCGCUCGCCGGAAGACCAAGGGUUCCUGUCCAACGUUAAUCGGGGCAGGGUGAGUCGACCCCUAAGGCGAGGCCGAAAGGCGUAGUCGAUGGGAAACAGGUUAAUAUUCCUGUACUUGGUGUUACUGCGAAGGGGGGACGGAGAAGGCUAUGUUGGCCGGGCGACGGUUGUCCCGGUUUAAGCGUGUAGGCUGGUUUUCCAGGCAAAUCCGGAAAAUCAAGGCUGAGGCGUGAUGACGAGGCACUACGGUGCUGAAGCAACAAAUGCCCUGCUUCCAGGAAAAGCCUCUAAGCAUCAGGUAACAUCAAAUCGUACCCCAAACCGACACAGGUGGUCAGGUAGAGAAUACCAAGGCGCUUGAGAGAACUCGGGUGAAGGAACUAGGCAAAAUGGUGCCGUAACUUCGGGAGAAGGCACGCUGAUAUGUAGGUGAAGUCCCUUGCGGAUGGAGCUGAAAUCAGUCGAAGAUACCAGCUGGCUGCAACUGUUUAUUAAAAACACAGCACUGUGCAAACACGAAAGUGGACGUAUACGGUGUGACGCCUGCCCGGUGCCGGAAGGUUAAUUGAUGGGGUCAGCGCAAGCGAAGCUCUUGAUCGAAGCCCCGGUAAACGGCGGCCGUAACUAUAACGGUCCUAAGGUAGCGAAAUUCCUUGUCGGGUAAGUUCCGACCUGCACGAAUGGCGUAAUGAUGGCCAGGCUGUCUCCACCCGAGACUCAGUGAAAUUGAACUCGCUGUGAAGAUGCAGUGUACCCGCGGCAAGACGGAAAGACCCCGUGAACCUUUACUAUAGCUUGACACUGAACAUUGAGCCUUGAUGUGUAGGAUAGGUGGGAGGCUUUGAAGUGUGGACGCCAGUCUGCAUGGAGCCGGCCUUGAAAUACCACCCUUUAAUGUUUGAUGUUCUAACGUGGACCCGUGAUCCGGGUUGCGGACAGUGUCUGGUGGGUAGUUUGACUGGGGCGGUCUCCUCCUAAAGAGUAACGGAGGAGCACGAAGGUUGGCUAAUCCUGGUCGGACAUCAGGAGGUUAGUGCAAUGGCAUAAGCCAGCUUGACUGCGAGCGUGACGGCGCGAGCAGGUGCGAAAGCAGGUCAUAGUGAUCCGGUGGUUCUGAAUGGAAGGGCCAUCGCUCAACGGAUAAAAGGUACUCCGGGGAUAACAGGCUGAUACCGCCCAAGAGUUCAUAUCGACGGCGGUGUUUGGCACCUCGAUGUCGGCUCAUCACAUCCUGGGGCUGAAGUAGGUCCCAAGGGUAUGGCUGUUCGCCAUUUAAAGUGGUACGCGAGCUGGGUUUAGAACGUCGUGAGACAGUUCGGUCCCUAUCUGCCGUGGGCGCUGGAGAACUGAGGGGGGCUGCUCCUAGUACGAGAGGACCGGAGUGGACGCAUCACUGGUGUUCGGGUUGUCAUGCCAAUGGCACUGCCCGGUAGCUAAAUGCGGAAGAGAUAAGUGCUGAAAGCAUCUAAGCACGAAACUUGCCCCGAGAUGAGUUCUCCCUGACCCUUUAAGGGUCCUGAAGGAACGUUGAAGACGACGACGUUGAUAGGCCGGGUGUGUAAGCGCAGCGAUGCGUUGAGCUAACCGGUACUAAUGAACCGUGAGG
This 2488-nucleotide ribosomal RNA is filed under the name Shigella sonnei. RNAcentral describes it as "partial 23S ribosomal RNA". It matches the Rfam family "Bacterial large subunit ribosomal RNA", at positions 448 to 2915 of the family's 2925-position model. The record is from RNAcentral. Lineage: Bacteria; Pseudomonadati; Pseudomonadota; Gammaproteobacteria; Enterobacterales; Enterobacteriaceae.